RNAcentral lists this unclassified non-coding RNA (352 nucleotides) under soil metagenome. RNAcentral's name for it is "partial contains 5.8S ribosomal RNA, internal transcribed spacer 2, and large subunit ribosomal RNA". The stretch from base 1 to 120 matches the Rfam family "5.8S ribosomal RNA", at positions 35 to 154 of the family's 154-position model. The record is from RNAcentral.
GAUGAAGAACGCAGCGAAAUGCGAUAAGUAAUGUGAAUUGCAGAAUUCAGUGAAUCAUCGAAUCUUUGAACGCACAUUGCGCCCGCCAGUAUUCUGGCGGGCAUGCCUGUUCGAGCGUCAUUUCAACCCUCAGGCCCCCAGUGCCUGGUGUUGGGGAUCGGCCCAGCCUUCCUGUAAGGCCGCCGGCCCCGAAAUCUAGUGGCGGUCUCGCUGUAGUCCUCCUCUGCGUAGUAGCACAACCUCGCAGUUGGAACGCGGCGGUGGCCAUGCCGUUAAACACCCCACUUCUGAAAGUUGACCUCGGAUCAGGUAGGAAUGCCCGCUGAACUUAAGCAUAUCAAUAAGCGGAGGA